Molecule: non-coding RNA, 25 nt
Filed under: Cricetulus griseus (Chinese hamster)
Lineage: Eukaryota; Metazoa; Chordata; Mammalia; Rodentia; Cricetidae
Source: RNAcentral
GAGAUUAAAAAUUAGAACUCUAAAC